This 338-nucleotide long non-coding RNA is filed under the name Triticum aestivum (bread wheat). Its description in RNAcentral is "long non-coding RNA (TAES_LNC020718)". The record is from RNAcentral. Lineage: Eukaryota; Viridiplantae; Streptophyta; Magnoliopsida; Poales; Poaceae.
AGAAGUAUACACACAGAAAUGCAUGUGUCCACUAUAUUACAAUCUGCAUUAUACUUACAUCUACAGAAAAACAUCGUCUCUUCUUGGGUGUAAGAAUUCAUUACAAGGAAGUAUAGUGGAAUUAAUCUCUGAAAAAGAGUGACCAUCACUUAAUUCUGUCGCGGCAAGGCUACUGACCAAUUCUGUAAAAUAGAAAGAACAAGCAGAAUCACAAUUAUUGUAAGGAAGAACUUGAAAGAUUAGCAAUUUCGAUACUAAAUUCACUUGAGAUGGCUGGUGCACUACACGGAUUGGUCUGGCAUGCCAAGAAUGGCAAGGGCGAGUUCACGCUGGUUUCC